RNAcentral lists this ribosomal RNA (873 nucleotides) under uncultured organism. Its description in RNAcentral is "bacterial SSU rRNA". It matches the Rfam family "Bacterial small subunit ribosomal RNA", at positions 1 to 869 of the family's 1533-position model. The record is from RNAcentral.
GGCUUAGAGUUUGAUCACGGCUCAGGAUGAACGCUAGCUACAGGCUUAACACAUGCAAGUCGAGGGGCAGCAUGAUUGAAGCUUGCUUCAAUUGAUGGCGACCGGCGCACGGGUGAGUAACACGUAUCCAACCUGCCGAUGACUCUGGGAUAGCCUUCCGAAAGAAAGAUUAAUACCGGAUGGCAUAAUUCUUCCGCAUGGUAGAAUUAUUAAAGAAUUUCGGUCGUCGAUGGGGAUGCGUUCCAUUAGGUUGUUGGCGGGGUAACGGCCCACCAAGCCUUCGAUGGAUAGGGGUUCUGAGAGGAAGGUCCCCCACAUUGGAACUGAGACACGGUCCAAACUCCUACGGGAGGCAGCAGUGAGGAAUAUUGGUCAAUGGACGAGAGUCUGAACCAGCCAAGUAGCGUGAAGGAUGACUGCCCUAUGGGUUGUAAACUUCUUUUAUACGGGAAUAAAGUGCAGCACGUGUGCUGUUUUGUAUGUACCGUAUGAAUAAGGAUCGGCUAACUCCGUGCCAGCAGCCGCGGUAAUAAGGAGGAUCCGAGCGUUAUCCGGAUUUAUUGGGUUUAAAGGGAGCGUAGGCGGAUGCUUAAGUCAGUUGUGAAAGUUUGCGGCUCAACCGUAAUAUUGCAGUUGAUACUGGGUGUCUUGAGUACAGUAGAGGCAGGUGGAAUUCGUGGUGUAGCGGUGAAAUGCUUAGAUAUCACGAAGAACUCCGAUUGCGAAGGCAGCCUGCUGGACUGUAACUGACGCUGAUGCUCGAAAGUGUGGGUAUCAAACAGGAUUAGAUACCCUGGUAGUCCACACAGUAAACGAUGAAUACUCGCUGUUUGCGAUAUACAGUAAGCGGCCAAGCGAAAGCGUUAAGUAUUC